UGUGAAUCUAGUGGAACCACUUCUGCACAAACUUGACUACUGAAAUCAGUGUGCGGAAAUGCUUCUGCUACAUUUUUA
This is a microRNA precursor of Amazona aestiva (blue-fronted amazon), 78 nucleotides long. It matches the Rfam family "mir-147 microRNA precursor family". The record is from Rfam. NCBI's taxonomy places the organism in Eukaryota, Metazoa, Chordata, Aves, Psittaciformes, Psittacidae.